Molecule: long non-coding RNA, 1652 nt
Filed under: Marmota monax (woodchuck)
Lineage: Eukaryota; Metazoa; Chordata; Mammalia; Rodentia; Sciuridae
Source: RNAcentral
AUGUGGGGCAUGGGCCUGCUGUGGUGACCAGAGCCUGCUCCUGAGGUGGAAAGUUGCUGAGCAGCUGCAAAUGCCAUCAUUCAUUUCUAAGGAGAGAAACUAAAUCUCAAAUACCCUCAAAAAGGCCAAUCAGGGCUCCGGAAGUAAAUGCUCUAGUAGGCAAUGUCCUUUCCUAUUGGAAAUUCCCCACUUGGGAAGAUUUGUCCUUUGCUAAAAGGACAGCUUUCUUGCAAGGCCAUUGUUUUUUAAUGUGGGCACUCCUUGAAAUAGUUACACAUUAGGACAAUAGUGUCUCAAGUGAUUUUUGGCACCUUCCAUCAGUAUCCAUCUAAGACUUGAACUACCUCUAUGCUUAUUUGACUUGGACUUUAGAAAGUCCUUGGCCUAUUUGGGUGUGCUGGUGCACACCUGUAAUCCCAGUGGCUUGGGAGGCUGAGGCAGGAGGAUCACAAGUUCAAAGCCAGCCUCAGCAACUUAUCGAGGUCCUAAGAAACUUAGCCAGACCCUGUCUCAAAAAUUUUUAAAAAAGAGCUGGGGAUGUGGCUCAGUGGUUGAGCAACCCUGGGUUCAAUCCCCAGUACAGGGGUGGGGGGGCAGUUCUUGCCCUAGGCACAAUACCUACAGAAAAUCAUGGCAACUAUGACACAGAACUGGAGUCAAAAUUUUUUACCUUGGUUUGGGGCUAAAUAAAAUCUUUGGUAUGAGACCUAGUUAGACACUGCCCUUAAGGAAUAUUACAGACUGGCCUCCUCUUGUCUACUCAGUCAUAUUUUCCAAUAGUUCCUAACCCCUAUUCUCCAUUCCAUUUAGUCUCUGCACAAGCCUCUCCCAUAAUUAUUCAAAUUGCUGUCUCUGUAUGUAAUAGCCUCUACUGAUUUAAAAUCCUCCCUUUGAGGCUUAUGCCCUGCUUCUCCAUGCAACCUUUCUUAAUCUCAUCCACCUAUCUUCUUCUCCAUUUUCAAAAUUCCUAGUUGAUCUUGUAUAGCCUUCUCUGCUUCUUGUUUGAGGGACUUCCCUCCUUGAGAGAUGUUAAACUUCCUAAGAGUAAAGGCAUCAUUUAUAGCCUUCCAGAGGUCCCAGUAAAGGGCUGAAUAAAAAGUGAUUAAGAGGCAGCUUGAUUUAUGUUCUUGACCAGCACAGGGAAGUUUUGUAUUUUCAAACGAUUUAUUUGAAAUUAAGUUACAAGAAUAGUACAAAGUUUACUCCAUACUCUCCACCCAGAUUCACCAAUUGAUAACAUUUGGCCCUAAUUCAUUUAUCAUUUGUUUGUGCCCACCAUACAUACAGAUAAAAAGAAUUUUCUUUUACAUAACCACAGCUAGUUAUCAACUUUGGUAAAUUUCACAUUGUUACACUAUUUUUUAAUGUGUUGAUAACAUUCUAUGUGGGCAUUUUCCCUUGCAGUACAGGAUCUAGUCUAGGAUCACUUUCUUUGCCUUUUAUGAUGUUGAUCUUUUUGCAGUCCUAUUUUAAAAAUACAAUCUUCUUAUUUUGAGCCAAUUUGUUGCUCAGUUUCUCCAUUAUAUAAUUACUAGCCUUUCUUCUACUUCCUUAUUACUAAUGAACAAUCUGUGGGGAGAAUUAUAAAUCCAUGCAAAUAUCUUUCUACUCAUCAAAAAUGUCCCCCUGGAUUUAGCAUCUAUUGAUAAUUC